Molecule: non-coding RNA, 259 nt
Organism: Pelobates cultripes (western spadefoot toad)
Lineage: Eukaryota; Metazoa; Chordata; Amphibia; Anura; Pelobatidae
Source: the annotation of a GenBank genome assembly
CUGAAUGCGCACGCGCGGCAAGAGCUGCGCGCGCAUUCAGCCGGUCACAUAGGAAAGCAUUCAUAAUGCUUUCCUAUGGACGCUGGCGUGCUCUCACUGUGAAAAUCACAGUGAGAAGCACGCAAGCGCCUCUAGUGGCUGUCAAUGAGACAGCCACUAGAGGAUCAGGGGGAAGGCUUAACCCAUUCAUAGACAUAGCAGUUUCUCUGAAACUGCUAUGUUUAUAAAAAAAAAUGGGUUAACCCUAGCUGGACCUGGC